This 229-nucleotide ribosomal RNA is filed under the name uncultured bacterium. RNAcentral's name for it is "partial 16S ribosomal RNA". It matches the Rfam family "Bacterial small subunit ribosomal RNA", at positions 568 to 796 of the family's 1533-position model. The record is from RNAcentral.
AGUGUAGGCGGCUACUUAAGUCGGAUGUGAAAGCCCCGGGCUCAACCUGGGAAUCGCAUUCGAUACUGGGUAGCUAGAGUUUGGUAGAGGUAAGUGGAAUUCCAGGUGUAGCGGUGAAAUGCGUAGAUAUCUGGAGGAACAUCAGUGGCGAAGGCGGCUUACUGGACCAAAACUGACGCUGAGGCUCGAAAGCGUGGGGAGCAAACAGGAUUAGAUACCCUGGUAGUCC